RNAcentral lists this ribosomal RNA (301 nucleotides) under uncultured bacterium. RNAcentral describes it as "partial 16S ribosomal RNA". It matches the Rfam family "Bacterial small subunit ribosomal RNA", at positions 509 to 807 of the family's 1533-position model. The record is from RNAcentral.
CAGUCGCCGCGGUAAUACGUAGGGUGCAAGCGUUAUCCGGAAUUAUUGGGCGUAAAGAGCUCGUAGGCGGUCUGUCGCGUCUGCUGUGAAAACUGGGGGCUCAACCCCCAGCCUGCAGUGGGUACGGGCAGACUAGAGUGCGGUAGGGGAGAUUGGAACUCCUGGUGUAGCGGUGGAAUGCGCAGAUAUCAGGAAGAACACCGAUGGCGAAGGCAGAUCUCUGGGCCGUAACUGACGCUGAGGAGCGAAAGCAUGGGGAGCGAACAGGAUUAGAUACCCCUGUAGUCCCUGUCUCUUAUAC